UACGUAGGGGGCAAGCGUUGUCCGGAAUUAUUGGGCGUAAAGGGCUCGUAGGCGGUUUGUCGCGUCGGGAGUGAAAACAUCCAGCUUAACUGGGUGCUUGCUUCCGAUACGGGCAGACUAGAGGUAUGCAGGGGAGAAUGGAAUUCCUGGUGUAGCGGUGAAAUGCGCAGAUAUCAGGAGGAACACCGGUGGCGAAGGCGGUUCUCUGGGCAUGAUCUGACGCUGAGGAGCGAAAGUGUGGGGAGCGAACAGGA
RNAcentral lists this ribosomal RNA (254 nucleotides) under uncultured prokaryote. RNAcentral describes it as "partial 16S ribosomal RNA". It matches the Rfam family "Bacterial small subunit ribosomal RNA", at positions 524 to 777 of the family's 1533-position model. The record is from RNAcentral.